GAGGUGGAAGGAUCACCUGAGCCCAGGAGGUCGAGGUUGCAGUGAGUUGUGAUCAUGCCACUGCACUCCAGCCUGAGUGACAGAGGGAGACCCUGACUCA
Molecule: microRNA precursor, 100 nt
Filed under: Carlito syrichta (Philippine tarsier)
Lineage: Eukaryota; Metazoa; Chordata; Mammalia; Primates; Tarsiidae
Description: miRNA (ENSTSYG00000029675.1)
Source: RNAcentral